Molecule: long non-coding RNA, 2346 nt
Organism: Callithrix jacchus (white-tufted-ear marmoset)
Lineage: Eukaryota; Metazoa; Chordata; Mammalia; Primates; Cebidae
Source: Ensembl
AAGGCCGGGGCAGAAGAGGAAAAACAAGCUGGAUGUGGCAUGGUAAAGCCUGUGCAAUUGGUGUAGGACCCUUGCUCUCAGAUCCUGCUACUGAUACGAGGAAUGUAGCAGCGAGAGACACAAAAGCGAACCCUCUUCCUGUGGGAUUCCAGCCUAGGAGGGAAGACGGCGAACAAGAAGCGACAAGUGUGUUGCAUGCUACCGAGAGAUGGCUGCUGCAGCUCUAGCCAUCAUAUCCAUAUUCCAGGCAGGAAGACAAUAAGGGGGAGAGAGUGCAUCACACAGUAAGUCUGUUAUAUCCUUUUAAGAAUUUCUAGAAGCUUUAGCAAAUAAUUUUUCCUUAUACCUCAUUGGCCAGACCUGUGUCAAACAACUGUCCCUAUCUCAAGGGAGGCUGAGAGAUGCCUUUUAGUUGGGCUCACUCUUUUUUGCCAACAAAAUCAGGUUUUGUUGCAAAGGGGAGAAUGGAUACUGGGUAGAUGUCUAGUAGAUUUUAUCUCUAGUACAAAUUUUUAUAAAUGGAAUUGCUGGAUUAAAUACUCUCAAACAUUUAAAAUUUUGAUUGUGCCAAAUUAUCCUCCAAAGGGCUUGUGCCAGGGCACUUGUACAGUGCAUGAAUAUGCCUGUUUCCCCACAUCGCUGCCUACAGACUGCUGCCAAACUCUUCAUGGUUUGCUAAUCCAAUGAGUGAAAAAUGAUCUCGCACUGUUUUAAUUUGCAUUCCUCUUGUUUUGAGUGAGGCUGAACAUCUUUUCAUAUGAUUAAAAACGUUGGCAUUUAAAGAGUAAUUGCAGAAAAAAUUCCAAGAGAGGGAAUGAGAAAGUAAGAAAAUGACAAGCAGUGACUGAGGAAGGAGGAGAAAACCAGGAGGGUCAAAGAAGGGGAUGAAGGAGCUUCAAAGACAAGAAGAGGAUGUGAGGGACUCUAUCAGAUGUGCAAAGAGAUAAGAUGAGGACAAAGGAGUGCACACUGGGUUUGGCAAUGUGGAGGCUACUUGGAACUCCACGUUGGUGUAGAAACCAAGUGAACCUCCUCUCCUGAGAAGUAUUAUUUUCCUGUUAUUUAAAUGAGUAAAUAAAUCCAGAGGGGUUAAAUAACUGCUCAAGGUCACACAGCUUGUAAUGGAGGAGCUGGAAUUUGAAUCCAGGUGUGUCGGACCCCCAGAUACCCAGAAAGUGAAUCCACAGAGGCUGUGAUGGAGGGAGAAUGUUUGGAAUUACUUUCUUGAAGACCUGGAAAGGGCCUUGCCGUUUAUGGAUCCCCUGACUAAUUUUACAAAUGAGGGAGCGGAGUUCCAUUAAAGUGAAGAGACUUGCUAGAAAGAGUGGGAGCCCAGCAAGAGCUGGGCUCGUCCAGCGCGUUUUGUGGGAUCACUUUUUUCUCCAGCAGGGGGCGCCAGCCAGCAGCUCGGGCUAAGUAAAAAAAAAAAAAACAAAAAACAAAAAUCACCUGAGGCGGUCAGCACCACGGACAGGGCAACAUACCUGGGCCUUAGGGGAAGCCCCAGCCUCCUGAAGGAGAAAACUGGACCCAAGUCUUAAUGUAGUUAAGUAUUCAAAAAAGACCAGGCUAUUGUUAAAUUCUGGGUCCUGUUGGUAGUCCUUUGGAAGUGAUACAGGUGCUUAAUGCAGACCUGAAAAUUGCUUUUCCAUUUACUCUGGUGGCAGAACUUCUAAGCUGCCCCACCUGGGGUCACAAACGUAAGUUAUUAUCUAUCCUUGGCUCUCAAUAAAGCCAACCAGAUGGCCAAACCCCUAGUGCGUUGACGGUUCAUUCGCCCAUUCAUUUAAAAUAUUUUUACAAUUAGGCUUAAAUUAAUUUAUUGUAAUUCUAACAAAAUAUGGGCUAGCACCCAGAUAAUCCCUGUUGAGGAGUUUGUUCAGAGUGGCAAGGUGCCCAGCGUCUGAAGACAAAUCAUGAUUGGCUAAGCCAGUCAUGGUAAUAGAUUCCUUUUUUUGUUCGAAUACUCACUUUCCCAGAAACUGUUGCAACUGGAUGACAAUGGGGGUGGUCAUGCGAUACAGUUCUGACCAAUGAGAUGAAAGAGAUGGGCAUGUGAAGAGUGGUCAUUGGUAUUAGCUCUCCCACCUUUUUCUUUCCUUGAAUGUGAACAUGGUGCCUGCAAUAGAGUCAGCCAUCUUCUAACAGCAAGUGCCAAUAAGAGACCAAACAGCCUGAGCAGAAAGAUAGGUCCUUGAUGACUCUGUUACUGACCCUGGAUUCCAAUCUCUAAGUUUCUUGUUAUGUGAGAUGAUUAAACAUCUUUAUUGUUUAAGCCACUGUUACUAAGCUGCCUUGAGUGUUUGUAGAUAAAACCAUUUCUGUUAUACUGUUGGGCUUUUUAUU